GUCGAGCUCACGUGCGCGUGUGUGUUUACCGGCUUCCAGACACGUGUUUUACAGCGUCGGACUCCGCCCAUUGGACAGAGGAGGAGCUUCUGAGCAGAGGAGAGGAGUUUACACUCGGCACUGAGGCUUACAGCUGGCACAGGGACGGACGCUGCGGAGUAUAUACAGCUUAUAUUACACACUCAGACCGUGUUUAUUAGACACUGUCAAUCAGACCGGGUUUAUUAGACACUGUCAAUCAGACCGGGUGAAUUGGACAGUGAGUACUAUUUGGUGUUUGUUAAAAUUAGCGACACGGAAAACUUUACAGAACUUUCCUGAAGCUGUCUGGCAGCUGAUUAAGACGUGUUUUCAGGAACAAACUGCACAUUUCUGGAAUAAUAAACCCGUUAUUCAGGUAAGUUUCAUGUGUUUGUGUGUUUUUAUGUAUUUAUUAUUUGCUGUUAUAUUGUAUAAUAGUGAUGUUUUCAGAAGCUUCACGCUGUCUGAGGCGACUCUCUCUCUCUCUCUCUCUCUCUCUCUCUCUCUCACACACACACACACACACACACACACACACCGGAUGCUCCGUGUUCCUUCAGAGUAAAGUGUCAGAACUGAGCACAGUUUGAAAGUACAGUGUGUGGAAGAACAUCUCCGCUGUAAUAAACUGUAGAAGUGAAAUGAAGAAACCCUCCUCAGAACACGGUGAAGGAGAAGUUAGCACGCGCCCUUACCGGUGUCUCUAAUAAGCGCCGUCACGCCAUCUCUCAGAGUGAACCGUCACUAUGGAGACCGAUGACCUGUAGACACCUAAAACACACCCCAAACCGCACACUAGUGUAUUAAAUAAGGUGCACUAUAUCUACUAUUUUAGCACGCUGUUAACCACUGUUUAGUGUCCUGAUUAGUGAGGUGAUUAAUGAGGUGAUUAAUCAUGUGAUUAGUGAGGUGCUUAAUGAGGUGAUUAGUGGGGUGAUUAAUGAGGUGAUUAGUGAGGUGAUUAGUGGUGUGAUUAAUGAGGUGAUUAGUGGGGUGAUUAAUGAGGUGAUUAGUGGGGUGAUUAGUGAGGUGAUUAGUGGUGAUUAAUGAGGUGAUUAAUCAGGUGAUUAAUCAGGUGAUUAGUGAGGUGAUUAAUGAGGUGAUUAGUGAGGUGAUUAAUGAGGUGAUUAGUGGUGAUUAAUGAGGUGAUUAGUGAGGUGUUUAAUGAGGUGAUUAGUGAGGUGAUUAAUGAGGUGAUUAGUGAGGUGAUUAGUGGUGAUUAAUGAGGUGAUUAGUGGGCCGAAUAAUGAGGUGAUUAGUGAGGUGAUUAAUUAAGUGAUUAGUGAGGUGAUUAAUGAGGUGAUUAAUGAGGUAAUUAAUGAGGU
Molecule: long non-coding RNA, 1346 nt
Organism: Ictalurus punctatus (channel catfish)
Lineage: Eukaryota; Metazoa; Chordata; Actinopteri; Siluriformes; Ictaluridae
Source: Ensembl